Molecule: ribosomal RNA, 715 nt
Filed under: uncultured Alphaproteobacteria bacterium
Lineage: Bacteria; Pseudomonadati; Pseudomonadota; Alphaproteobacteria
Description: bacterial SSU rRNA
Rfam family: Bacterial small subunit ribosomal RNA
Source: RNAcentral
AUGCAAGUCGAACGAAGUAGCAAUACUUAGUGGCAGACGGGUGAGUAACAUGUAGGUAUCUGCCCUUUGGCCUGGAAUAACACGAGGAAACUUGUGCUAAUACCGGAUAAGUCUUUACGGAGAAAGCUUAACGCACCAUUGGAUGAGCCUGCACUUGAUUAGUUUGUUGGUGGGGUAAUGGCCUACCAAGACUGUGAUCAAUAGCUGAUUUGAGAGGAUGAUCAGCCACAUUGGGACUGAGACACGGCCCAAACUCCUACGGGAGGCAGCAGUGGGGAAUCUUGCACAAUGGAGGAAACUCUGAUGCAGCGAUGCCGCGUGAGUGAAGAAGGCCUUUGGGUUGUAAAGCUCUUUCGUCGGGGAAGAAAAUGACUGUACCCGAAUAAGAAGGUCCGGCUAACUUCGUGCCAGCAGCCGCGGUAAUACGAAGGGACCUAGCGUAGUUCGGAAUUACUGGGCUUAAAGAGUUCGUAGGUGGUCGAAAAAGUUGGUGGUGAAAUCCCAGAGCUUAACUCUGGAACUGCCAUCAAAACUUUUCAGCUAGAGUAUGAUAGAGGAAAGCAGAAUUUCUAGUGUAGAGGUGAAAUUCGUAGAUAUUAGAAAGAAUACCAAUUGCGAAGGCAGCUUUCUGGAUCAUUACUGACACUGAGGAACGAAAGCAUGGGUAGCGAAGAGGAUUAGAUACCCUCGUAGUCCAUGCCGUAAACGAUGUGUG